RNAcentral lists this ribosomal RNA (253 nucleotides) under uncultured bacterium. Its description in RNAcentral is "partial 16S ribosomal RNA". It matches the Rfam family "Bacterial small subunit ribosomal RNA", at positions 524 to 776 of the family's 1533-position model. The record is from RNAcentral.
UACGAAGGGGGCUAGCGUUGCUCGGAAUCACUGGGCGUAAAGGGUGCGUAGGCGGGUCUUUAAGUCAGGGGUGAAAUCCUGGAGCUCAACUCCAGAACUGCCUUUGAUACUGGCGAGCUUGGGUCCGGGAGAGGUGAGUGGAACUGCGAGUGUAGAGGUGAAAUUCGUAGAUAUUCGCAAGAACACCAGUGGCGGAGGCGGCUCACUGGCCCGGUACUGACGCUGAGGUGCGAAAGCGUGGGGAGCAAACAGG